RNAcentral lists this non-coding RNA (53 nucleotides) under Thalassiosira antarctica. Lineage: Eukaryota; Bacillariophyta; Thalassiosirophyceae; Thalassiosirales; Thalassiosiraceae. The record is from RNAcentral.
AACACUUAAAAUCGGUGUGUAGUUGUGCAUAACAAGCGUUUCAAUGGGACGCA